GAUGCAGUGGCACGAUCUCGGCUCACUGCAACCUCCGACUGCUGGAUUCAAGAGAUUCUCCCCGCUUGAGCCCAGGAGUUCUGGGCCGUAGUGCACUAUGCCAAUCGGGUGUCCGCACUAAGUUCGUCAUCAAUAUGGUGAUCUCCCUGGAGCCGGGGACCACAAGGUUGCCUAAGGAGGAGUGAACCGGCCCAGGUAGGAAACGGAGCAGGUCAAAACUCCCGUGCUGAUGAGUAGUGGGAUUGCACCUGUGGAUAGUCACUGCAUUCCAGCCUGGGCAACAUAGCAAGACCAAGACCCAGUCUCUA
Molecule: unclassified non-coding RNA, 308 nt
Organism: Saimiri boliviensis boliviensis (Bolivian squirrel monkey)
Lineage: Eukaryota; Metazoa; Chordata; Mammalia; Primates; Cebidae
Rfam family: Metazoan signal recognition particle RNA
About the family: The signal recognition particle (SRP) is a universally conserved ribonucleoprotein.
Source: Ensembl